AACGAACGCUGGCGGCAUGCCUAACACAUGCAAGUCGAACGAGACCUUCGGGUCUAGUGGCGCACGGGUGCGUAACGCGUGGGAACCUGCCCUUAGGUUCGGAAUAACUCCCCGAAAGGGGUGCUAAUACCGGAGAAUGUCUUCGGACCAAAGGUUUAUCGCCUUUGGAUGGGCCUGCGUUGGAUUAGCUAGUUGGUAGGGUAAAAGCCUACCAAGGCGACGAUCCAUAGCUGGUCUGAGAGGAUGAUCAGCCACACUGGGACUGAGACACGGCCCAGACUCCUACGGGAGGGAGGAGUGGGGAAUAUUGGACAAUGGGCGAAAGCCUGAUCCAGCAAUGCCGCGUGAGUGAUGAAGGCCUUAGGGUUGUAAAGCUCUUUUACCCGGGAUGAUAAUGACAGUACCGGGAGAAUAAGCUCCGGCUAACUCCGUG
Molecule: ribosomal RNA, 433 nt
Filed under: uncultured bacterium
Lineage: Bacteria
Description: partial 16S ribosomal RNA
Rfam family: Bacterial small subunit ribosomal RNA
Source: RNAcentral